Long non-coding RNA from Prunus persica (peach), 901 nucleotides. RefSeq lists it as uncharacterized. The transcript has 2 exons. Lineage: Eukaryota; Viridiplantae; Streptophyta; Magnoliopsida; Rosales; Rosaceae. The record is from RefSeq and is a predicted model, not a curated record.
UUGGACACCCGAUCGGUCCGCGCGUGUGGCGGCGCGUGGGCCAGGGUGGAGGCACGGCUCUGGCCAGUUUUGAGACCCUCGUGCCAUCACGAGCGCGCAGGAUUUCGCGGAUCUCAAUUCGGAGUCCGUUUGUGCCCCGAACGGAUUUUCCAUAAUAUGCGAUUCCCGGUUGCAGCGUCGUCUAGCCGUUGGAUCGCACCCCAUUUCGGAUAUGUUGUUCUACAUUGUUUCAGGAUAGCGUAGGAUUCGACGGAUUGCAAAUCAGAGUCCCGGAUACUCCGGAAUCGCGAACCCUGGGGCUAGGGUUAGGGUUUUAAUAGAUAGCGCGAAUUUGGCCAAUCCGACCGUCCAUUUCGGACCAAACUCGCAGGACAUGGGUUUUACACAGUGAGGAACCUCUAGAGAAUCCCAGAUCGGCCAUCGGAGAUCGUGGACCCCACGGGGUUCCGGAUCGGCCGGUCUAACAGUUUAUCUCUUUGUAAGGUUUCCGGUCUUUUAAGGCCAUUCUGGACAUAGAGUUGACUUUACAAUGAGAGCACGUAUUUCUAGGAGCCGGAGGUCAGGGUAUUUAAUUUAAUGUUUUUAUUGAGCAGUUUAGUAAUUGAAUAUUCAUGGUUAAACAGGCAUCAGAGGCCAAACUGAACCACAGGAGGGACCUUCAAGAGGUCCAGCUAGCUCGGACCAGCAGCAGUCGAGUGUGCAGGAAUCCACCACCAGGCCUUCUCCUAGCUCCCACGCUAUUUCCAAGCUGUAGGAUUUCUUGUAACCUACUUAAAUUCUUGUAAACAAUUAGUAACUGCUCUGAUAUCUGGUUGGAUUAGAUAACCAGAACUGGUGAAUAUUUAGUUACCCUAUUCUGGCAGUUGGUGUGGAUUUAUCAGUUUGUUUGACAGGUGGAAAA